RNAcentral lists this ribosomal RNA (949 nucleotides) under Pollicipes pollicipes. Its description in RNAcentral is "bacterial LSU rRNA". It matches the Rfam family "Bacterial large subunit ribosomal RNA", at positions 1947 to 2910 of the family's 2925-position model. The record is from RNAcentral. Lineage: Eukaryota; Metazoa; Arthropoda; Thecostraca; Pollicipedomorpha; Pollicipedidae.
GGUCCUAAGGUAGCGAAAUUCCUUGUCGGGUAAGUUCCGACCUGCACGAAUGGCAUAAUGAUGGCGGCGCUGUCUCCAGCAGAGACUCAGUGAAAUCGAAAUCGCAGUGAAGAUGCUGUGUACCCGCGGCUAGACGGAAAGACCCCGUGAACCUUUACUACAGCUUUACAUUGAACUUUGACCUUACCUGUGUAGGAUAGGUGGGAGGCUUUGAAGCAGGCACGCCAGUGUCUGUGGAGCCAUCCUUGAAAUACCACCCUGGUAAUGUUGGGGUUCUAACUCAAGCUUAACAGAGCUGAGGACAAUGUAUGGUGGGUAGUUUGACUGGGGCGGUCUCCUCCUAAAGAGUAACGGAGGAGUACGAAGGUGCGCUCAGAACGGUCGGAAAUCGUUCGAAGAGUAUAAAGGCAAAAGCGCGCUUAACUGCGAGACCCACAAGUCGAGCAGAUACGAAAGUAGGUCUUAGUGAUCCGGUGGUUCUGUAUGGAAGGGCCAUCGCUCAACGGAUAAAAGGUACUCUGGGGAUAACAGGCUGAUACCGCCCAAGAGUUCAUAUCGACGGCGGUGUUUGGCACCUCGAUGUCGGCUCAUCUCAUCCUGGGGCUGAAGCAGGUCCCAAGGGUAUGGCUGUUCGCCAUUUAAAGAGGUACGCGAGCUGGGUUUAGAACGUCGUGAGACAGUUCGGUCCCUAUCUACCGUGGGCGUUGGAAAUUUGAGAGGAUCUGCUCCUAGUACGAGAGGACCAGAGUGGACGAACCUCUGGUGUUUCGGUUGUGACGCCAGUCGCAUUGCCGAGUAGCUAUGUUCGGAUGGGAUAACCGCUGAAAGCAUCUAAGCGGGAAGCCCACCUUAAGAUUAGAUUUCCCUAAAGAGCCGUUGUAGACUACGACGUUGAUAGGUUGGGUGUGGAAGCAUAGUGAUAUGUGUAGCUAACCAAUACUAAUUGCUC